Molecule: ribosomal RNA, 253 nt
Filed under: uncultured prokaryote
Description: partial 16S ribosomal RNA
Rfam family: Bacterial small subunit ribosomal RNA
Source: RNAcentral
ACGUAGGGAGCAAGCGUUGUUCGGAUUUACUGGGCGUAAAGGGCGCGUAGGCGGCGUGUCAAGUCGAUUGUGAAAUCUCCGGGCUUAACUCGGAACGGCCAAUCGAUACUGACGUGCUAGAGUGCAGAAAGGGCAAUCGGAAUUCUUGGUGUAGCGGUGAAAUGCGUAGAUAUCAAGAGGAACACCUGAGGCGAAGGCGGGUUGCUAGGCUGACACUGACGCUGAUGCGCGAAAGCCAGGGGAGCAAACGGGA